GACAGGGGUGCUGGGUGCAAGCCCGGCUGAGAUAGAGCGUAACGCCGCUCUGGACCCUCUAUACCUGAUCCGGGUAAUGCCGGCGUAGGAAGGUUUUUAA
This 100-nucleotide non-coding RNA is filed under the name Neobittarella massiliensis (ex Bilen et al. 2018). RNAcentral's name for it is "TPP riboswitch (THI element)". It matches the Rfam family "TPP riboswitch aptamer (THI element)", at positions 10 to 89 of the family's 105-position model. From Rfam's summary of the family: Vitamin B(1) in its active form thiamin pyrophosphate (TPP) is an essential coenzyme that is synthesised by coupling of pyrimidine and thiazole moieties in bacteria. The previously detected thiamin-regulatory element, thi box was extended, resulting in a new, highly conserved RNA secondary structure, the THI element, which is widely distributed in eubacteria and also occurs in some archaea. Lineage: Bacteria; Bacillati; Bacillota; Clostridia; Eubacteriales; Oscillospiraceae. The record is from RNAcentral.